This 111-nucleotide non-coding RNA is filed under the name Polymorphum gilvum. Its description in RNAcentral is "TPP sequence". It matches the Rfam family "TPP riboswitch aptamer (THI element)". From Rfam's summary of the family: Vitamin B(1) in its active form thiamin pyrophosphate (TPP) is an essential coenzyme that is synthesised by coupling of pyrimidine and thiazole moieties in bacteria. The previously detected thiamin-regulatory element, thi box was extended, resulting in a new, highly conserved RNA secondary structure, the THI element, which is widely distributed in eubacteria and also occurs in some archaea. Analysis of operon structures identified a large number of new candidate thiamin-regulated genes, mostly transporters, in various prokaryotic organisms. Lineage: Bacteria; Pseudomonadati; Pseudomonadota; Alphaproteobacteria; Rhodobacterales; Paracoccaceae. RNAcentral also lists the same sequence under 1 other name. The record is from RNAcentral.
GCCGUCUCAUGGGGGUGCCCGGCGCCGAUGCGCGGGCUGAGAGGCGGAUCCGCCAACUCCUUGAACCUGAUCCGGGUCAUGCCGGCGGAGGGAUUUGGGAUGAUCGACAGU